Molecule: ribosomal RNA, 429 nt
Filed under: Bacteroidota bacterium
Lineage: Bacteria; Pseudomonadati; Bacteroidota
Description: Bacteroidetes bacterium partial 16S ribosomal RNA
Rfam family: Bacterial small subunit ribosomal RNA
Source: RNAcentral
UAGGGAAUCUUCGGCAAUGGGGGGAACCCUGACCGAGCAACGCCGCGUGAGUGAAGAAGGUUUUCGGAUCGUAAAGCUCUGUUGUUAAGGAAGAACGAGUGUGAGAAUGGAAAGUUCAUACUGUGACGGUACUUAACCAGAAAGGGACGCCUAACUACGUGCCAGCAGCCGCGGUAAUACGUAGGUUCCGAGCGUUGUCCGGAUUUAUUGGGCGUAAAGCGAGCGCAGGCGGUUAGAUACGUCUGAAGUUAAAGGCAGUGGCUCACCCAUUGUAUGCUUUGGAAACUGUUUCACUGGAGUGCAGGAGGGGAGCGUGGAAUUCCAUGUGUAGCGGAGAAAUGCGUAGAUAUAUGAAGGAACACCGGUGGCGAAAGCGGCUCUCUGGUCUGUAACUGUCGCUGUGGCUCGAAAGCGUGGGGAGCGAACAGG